This 278-nucleotide ribosomal RNA is filed under the name uncultured bacterium. RNAcentral describes it as "partial 16S ribosomal RNA". It matches the Rfam family "Bacterial small subunit ribosomal RNA", at positions 80 to 354 of the family's 1533-position model. The record is from RNAcentral.
UACUCCCGCCGGCGACCGGCGCACGGGUGAGUAACACGUAUGAAACCUGCCCGUAGCAGGGGGAUAAGCGGAAGAAAUUCCGUCUAAUACCGCGUAACAACCCGAGGAGGCAUCUCCUCGGGUUUAAAGGAAGCGAUUCCGGCUACGGAUGGUCAUGCGUCACAUUAGCUAGUUGGCGGGGUAACGGCCCACCAAGGCGACGAUGCGUAGGGGUUCUGAGAGGAAGGUCCCCCACACUGGUACUGAGACACGGACCAGACCCCUACGGAAGGCAGCAG